RNAcentral lists this ribosomal RNA (594 nucleotides) under uncultured Actinomycetes bacterium. RNAcentral describes it as "bacterial SSU rRNA". It matches the Rfam family "Bacterial small subunit ribosomal RNA", at positions 111 to 692 of the family's 1533-position model. The record is from RNAcentral. Lineage: Bacteria; Bacillati; Actinomycetota; Actinomycetes.
UAACACGUGGGUAACCUGCCCCGAUGACCGGGACAACCCGAGGAAACUCGAGCUAAUACCGGAUGUGAUGUCCACAUAUAAGUGUGUCCAUUAAAGGAAGCUUCGGCCUCCACAUCGGGAUGGGCCCGCGGCCCAUUAGCUAGUUGGUGGGGUAAAGGCCUACCAAGGCAACGAUGGGUAGCUGGUCUGAGAGGACGAUCAGCCACACUGGGACUGAGACACGGCCCAGACUCCUACGGGAGGCAGCAGUGGGGAAUCUUGCGCAAUGCGCGAAAGCGUGACGCAGCAACGCCGCGUGAGGGAAGACGGCCUUCGGGUUGUAAACCUCUUUCAGGAGGGACGAAGGUCCGCCCGCGAAUAGCGAGGCGGAUUGACGGUACCUCCAGAAGAAGCCCCGGCUAACUACGUGCCAGCAGCCGCGGUAAUACGUAGGGGGCAAGCGUUGUCCGGAAUCAUUGGGCGUAAAGCGCGCGUAGGCGGCCCGGUAAGUCCGCUGUAAAAGUCAAAGGCUCAACCUUUGAAUGCCGGUGGAUACUGUCGGGCUAGAGUCCGGAAGAGGCGAGUGGAAUUCCUGGUGUAGCGGUGGAAUGCGCA